This 417-nucleotide ribosomal RNA is filed under the name Triticum aestivum (bread wheat). RNAcentral's name for it is "partial small subunit ribosomal RNA". The record is from RNAcentral. Lineage: Eukaryota; Viridiplantae; Streptophyta; Magnoliopsida; Poales; Poaceae.
AUGGAUCCGCCGCCGCAUAUGCAACCCAACUACAAGGGUGUCAAGGUCGGCGAGACCAGUGAUGGAAAGCUGUGUGUCGCCUGGGCAACUGAUCUCCUGCUCAAAGUUUGGGUCCGGAGAGCCACCGCAGGGGGUGUCGACAAUUGGAUGCCGGACACAGACAAAUCGAUGCUGGAUGAGAUCCGUGAAUUGGAGGUACCAUGUUUAGAUGAAGACCCUGUACUGGAGGUUAAGGCAAUCAUGGGUGGCAUCGUGUAUUUGUCUACCUACGAGGCAUCGAAUCCUACUAGUUCUUGCUGGUUGCUAUCCUUCUGCACUGAAACAGAGAAGCUGAACAAGGUCUGCCCUAUCACCAACUCUGAUUUUUCCUAUCCCUAUUUGAUGGCGUGGCCUCCUCUUCUUUAUGCAACAAGGUGA